UUUAAGCUACAGAAUGAAAGUUUUGUUCCUGGCUCUGGUUUUUGCCUUAGUGCUAAUGAGAGGUUCUGCUCUGAAAUGUGUCCGGUGUUUCCCACCUGAUCGUGAAUGGUGCAUACCCAGUCCUGAAACCUGCAAUGAGAAAAAUGCCUGUGUCUUUUAUGAACUGAAUAUUGGAUCAAGUCGAAAUGUUCCUCCAGCGAAGAAGUGCAUUUCUAUGGCCGAAUGUCUCAAGCUGAAGCAAAAUCCUAAUUACAAAGUCAAAU
Clarias gariepinus (North African catfish) is the source of this 263-nucleotide long non-coding RNA. RefSeq lists it as uncharacterized. NCBI's taxonomy places the organism in Eukaryota, Metazoa, Chordata, Actinopteri, Siluriformes, Clariidae. The record is from RefSeq and is a predicted model, not a curated record. The transcript is spliced from 3 exons.